UUUUUUUUUUUUUUUGAUAUUGAGCUGCAUGAAUUGUUUGUAUAUUUUGGAGAUUAAUCUCUUAUCAGUUAGUUGCAUUGUUUGCAAAUAUCUUCUCCCAUCCUGUAGGUUAUCCUUUUGUUUUCUUUAUGGUUUCCUUUGCUGUGCAAAAGCUUUUAAGUUUAAUUAUGUCUCAUUUGUUUACUUUUGUUUUUAUUUCCAUUACUGUAGGAGAUGGAAUCCAAAAAGAUAUUACUAUGAUUUAUGUCAAAGAGUGUUCUGCCUAUGUUUUCCUCUGUGUGUGAGUUUUAUAGCAAAUGGUCUUACAUUUAGGUAUUUAGCCCAUUUUGAGUUUAUUUUUAUAUAUGGUGUUUAAUAAUUCAUAGAAAGGUACAACCUCCUAAGACUGAACCAGAAAGAAAUAGAAAAUACAAACAGACCAGAUACAAAUACUGAAAUUGAAUCUGUGAUUUAAAAACUCCCAACAAACAAAAGUCCAGGGCCAGAUGUCUUCACAGGGAAUUCUAUCAGUCAUUUAGAGAAGUUAAUACCUUCUGAGACUAUUCCAAAAAACUGCAGAGGAAGAAACACUUCCAAACUCAUUUGGAUAUCCAAAUCAGACAAAAACACUACAAAAAGAGAAAAUUACAGGCCAAUAUCACUGAUGAACAUAGACUCAAAAAUCCUCAACAAAUACUAAAAAACUGAAUCGAGCAAUACAUUAAAGGAUCAAAUACCAUGAUCAAGUGGGAUUUAUCCUAGGAAUGCAAGGAUUUUUCAAUAUCCACAAAUCAAUCAGUGUGAAAUAGCACAUUAACAAAUUGAAAAAUAACAAUAUGGUCAUCUCAAUAGAUGGAGAAAAAUAUUUUGAUAAAAUUCAACAUCCAUUUUUGAUAAAAACUCUGCAGAAAGUGGGCAUAGAGGGGAUAUAUCUCAACAUAAUAAAGACCAUAUAUGACAAACUCACAGCUAACUUCAAAAGCUGAAAGCAUUUCCUCUAAGAUCAGAAACAAGACAAGGAUGCCCAUUCUUGUCACUUUUAUUCAACAUAGUUUUGGAAAUACUACCACAGCAAUCAGAAAAGGAAAAAAAAAUAAUGAGAAUCCAAACUGGAAAAAAAGAAGUAAAAUUGUCACUGUUUGCAGAUAACAUGAUACUAUAUAUAGAAAAUACUAAAGAUACUACCAGAAAACUACCAGAGCUCAUCAAUGAAUCUGGAAAAGUUGCAGGAUACAAAAUAAAUACAGAAGUAUAUUGUGUUUUUAUACACUAACAAUGAAAUAUCAGAAAGAGAAAUUAAGGAAACGAUCUCAUUUACCACACAUCAAAAAUAAGAAAAUAUCUAGGAAUAAACCUACCUAAGGAAGCAAAAGACCUGUACUCUGAAAAUUAUAAGACACUGAUGAAAGAAACUGAAGAUGACACAAAUAGAGAGAUAUAAUGUGUUCUUGGAUUGGAAGAAUCAACAUUGUUAAAAUGACAAUACUAUCCAGGGCAAUCUACAGAUUCAAUGCAAUCCCCAUCAAAUCAACAAUGGUAUUUUUUACAGAACUAGAACAAAAAAAUUUUUUUUAAUUUGUAUGGAAACACAAAAGACCCCCAAAAGCCAAAGCAAUCUAGAGAAAGAAAAAUGGAGCUGGAGGAAUCUGGCUCUUUGCCUUAAGAUUAUAUUACAAAGCUAUAGGAAUCAAAACAGUAUGGUACUGGCACAAAAACAGACAUUAGAUCAACAGAAUGGGAUAUAGAGUCCAGAAAUAAACCCAUGCACCUAUGGUCAAUAAAUCUAUGACAAAGGAAGCAAGAAUAUACAAUGGAGAAAAGAGAGUCUUCAAUAAAUGGUGCUAGGAGAACUGGACAGCUGCAUGAAAUAGCAUGAAAUUAGAACAUUUUCUAUAUGCUUUCUUAUCUCAUGUUUUAUUAGCUGAGAGCUGAGUUCUGUCCAUGUCUACUAUUAACUAGUAGUAAAGGGAUAUUAGUCAAACGGUAUCAAGUUUCAAUUAUGCAAGAUGAAUAAGUUCUGGAGAUCCAAUAUGUAUUAUGGUGACUAUAGCUAACAAUCCAUAUUGUACACAGGUCUACCUCAUUUUAUGAUGCUUCAUAGGUACUGUGUGUUUUUAAAAAUUGAUGUUUUGUGGCAAUCCUAUUUCAAGCAAGUCUAUUGGGGCCAUAUUUCAAAUAGCAUUUGCUCACUUUGUCUCUGUGCCACAUUUUGAUAAUUCUUACAAUAUUUCAAACCCUACUAGCAAGAAUAUUAUGACUUGCUGAAGGAUUAGAUGAUGGUUAACAUAUUUUAGCAAUAAAGUAUUUUAAAUUAAGGUAUGUAUAUUAUUUCUUAGACAUGCUAUUAUUGCACAUUUAACAGACUACAAUAUAGUAUAAACAUAAUUUUUAUAUACAUUGGGAAACCAAAAACUUCAUGGGACUCACUUUAACAUGAUAUCAGCUUUAUUGCAGUGGUUUGGAACCAAACUGCUAUCUCUGAGGUAUGCCUAUACUUGAAAUUUGCUAAGAGGAUAGAUCUUAAAUCUACUGAACACACACACACACACACACACACACACCACACACACACACACACAGAGGUAACUAUGUAGAGGUGAUGGAUAUGUUAAUUAGCUUCAUUGUGGUGGUCAUUACACAUUGUAUAUGUAUACCAAGUUAUACACUUUAAGUAUAUAUAAAAAUAUAACUUUUAUGUCAAUGACAUCUCAAAGUUGUUAAAACAAACAAACAAAUAGCAAGUGGGAUGAAAGUACCAUGAUUAGCUUAGACUUAUCAUCUAGGUUGAAAAGGCUGGAGGGAGAAUUGACCAGUAUUUGCCAUAGGCUGUCUCCUGAUUCAAAAGGGUACAUUUUGAACAAGGCUGUGCAAACCCAUCUCAUCUUCCAGUGCCUCGCUUCACAAGCCUCAACUUUUGCACAUUGCUCCCUCCUACCCCAUAUUGUAACUUAUAUCCUAUGUCAGCUGGGUAGUUUAUUAGGAAAGGCAAUCAGAGAGAAUUUUGACCUCCUUUGAUUGUCUUGAAGGCCACGUCAUACCUGCCUCAUGUGAAUUCCCAAUACCUCACAAUAUAGGACACUAGCCCAGAAGCCCAAAACCUUUCAAAUAGCUUUAGGCUUUCCUUCACAUCUGGCAUUAUGAAUUCUGGUCAAGGGCUCCCUGCCCCUUGUCCAACAUUAAUAUUUCAGGCAAAUACCAAAAUUAUAUAAACCUUACAUAUCAACCAAGGGUAUAGU
Molecule: long non-coding RNA, 3215 nt
Filed under: Sus scrofa (pig)
Lineage: Eukaryota; Metazoa; Chordata; Mammalia; Artiodactyla; Suidae
Description: lncRNA (ENSSSCG00000052315.1)
Source: RNAcentral